Molecule: transfer RNA, 85 nt
Filed under: Vibrio cholerae
Lineage: Bacteria; Pseudomonadati; Pseudomonadota; Gammaproteobacteria; Vibrionales; Vibrionaceae
Also listed under: 1 other name
Description: tRNA-Leu
Rfam family: tRNA
About the family: Transfer RNA (tRNA) molecules are approximately 80 nucleotides in length. Their secondary structure includes four short double-helical elements and three loops (D, anti-codon, and T loops).
Source: RNAcentral
GCGGAAGUGGCGAAAUUGGUAGACGCACCAGAUUUAGGUUCUGACGCCGCAAGGUGUAAGAGUUCAAGUCUCUUCUUCCGCACCA